GACCCGGUCAUGGAGUAGGCUCCUGAACUGCCAGUCAUUAGGGGGACUCAGUUGGCCACUGAAGUUCAGGAGGGAGGAGCGAGGGGAUUGCUUGAGAGAAGCUUGGUGUGGUAGGUAGAGGCAGAAAGUCUGAGGGAAUUAAGGCUAGGGGGAGGCUGGAUGGGCUUGGUCAUAGUACAGCAGGGACGGACAGAAAUCGGCAGUAGGGGCCCAAGGAAGCCUUUUUUCUUCUUUUUUUCUUUUUUUAAGGCGGAGUUUUACUCUGUCAUCCAGCCUGGACUGCAGUGGUGCAAUCUUGGCUCACUGCAAUCUCUGCCUCCUGAGUUCACACCGUACUCCUACCUCAGUCUCCGGAGUAGUUGGGACCACGGGUGCCCGCCACCAUGCCCGGCUAAUUUUUUUGUUUUUUUAGUAGAAAGUGUUUCACUGUGUUUGCUGGGAUGGUCUAUUUCCUAAUCUCGUGAUCCACCCGCCUUGGCUUCCCAAAGUGCUGGGGUUAGAGGUGUGAGCUACUACGCCUGGCCAAGAGGCCCUUUUUUUGUUCAGAUAGUCAUGCUGUAUCACCCAGGUAGGAGUGCAGUGGUGUGAUCUCAGUGUCUGCUGGUUGCAACCUCCGCCUCGCGGGUUCAAGCGAUUCUCCUCCUUCGGUCUCCCGAGUAGCUGGGAUUACAGGUGCCCAUCACCACGCCUGGCUAGUUCUUAGAUUUUUAGUAGAGAUGGGGUUUUGCCAUAUUGGUCAGGUUGAUUUCAGUUGCUCCACCUGCCUCGGCUUUCUAAAGUGCUGGGAUUACAGGUGUGAGCCACAGUGCCCAGCCCUGGGAGAAGCUUUCUUAAAAGUGGGGGCUACUCAUUCUGAGCACUGUUCUGGGAGACGGUGGGCGUGCAGAAAGAGCGGCAACCCCGUUACUCCUCCCCGCUGCAGGCAAUGAUUUAACUAGAAGGCAGCUCCAGAGACCGCUGUAUUAGGGGAGUGCCCACUGCUUCCCGGGUCAUGAUUCAUCCCGAAGGACCCAAGAGUCUAAGUCUGAGCUCUGUCAGCCUCUGUACUUUUGCCAGCUCCCCUUGAGCAGGUCUCCCAAAGUGCUGAGAUUCCAGGCAUGAACCACCAUGCCCAGCUUGGGUGACAGAGUGAGACACUGUCUUUAAAAAAAAAAAAAAAAAAAGACGUUGAUAUGGUACUAUGAUCUAAUAUACGGAUCAAUUUGCCCAAAAAUGUAUCUUACAUCAUAAUUUUUAGGAAUCUUUCUGGCUCAGGAUUCCAUCCAGGAUCAUGCUUUGCAUUUAGUGGUCAGGUCCCUUUAAUCUCUUUUCACCUAGAAUGUUCCUCAGACUUUCACGACAUUGAAGGUUUCGAAGAGUGCAAGCCCAUUAUUAGAUGGAGUCUCGUUGUCUCCCAGGCUGGAGUGCAUUGGUGUGAUCUUGGCUCACUGCAACCUCUGCUUGGCUCCCAGGUUCAAGCAAUUCUACCUCAGCCUCCCGAGUAGCUGGGAUUAGAGGUACCUGCCACCACCCAGCUAACUUAUCUACUUGUGGAGACGGGGUUUAACCAUGUUGGCCAGGCUGAUCUCGAAUUCCUGAGCUCAAGUGAUCUGUCUCCCUCAGCCUCCCAAAGUGCUGGGAUUACAGGUGUGAGCCACUGUACCUGGCAAUGUUCAUUUUCUUGUCAUGUGUGUACACAAGUGUGAAAAGAUUCUAUUAUACAGAUGAAACAUGUGCUGUUUAAU
This 1724-nucleotide long non-coding RNA is filed under the name Homo sapiens (human). RNAcentral's name for it is "HSALNT0384590". Lineage: Eukaryota; Metazoa; Chordata; Mammalia; Primates; Hominidae. The record is from RNAcentral.